UAACGCAGAGUGCUGAUGGUGCGUAUUAAUACUUGUCCUCAGUAACGCCGAGUAUUAAUACUUGUCCUCAGUAACGCCGAGUGCUGAUGGUGUGUACCAAUUUAAAAUCUUGUUUCUUUCAUUGAAAGGGUCUCCAAGGUGACGGAGGAGUCAUGUGAGUGAUUGCUUCAGCAAAGAGGAAGCGGGAGGCGGCAGAGAGCGACGGCGAAGCUGUGACGCCCGGCACGCCGUCUGCAGAGGACGUGAAGAAAGAGAAGAGGGCAAAACUGGAGGAGGCGGGGCCUGGCGGUGCAGCCACGGAGCCUGAAGAGGAGGGGACGGAGCCUACGACAGAGGUCGAAAGUGCGAAGAAGAAGAAACAGAAGGACAGCGACGUGUCAGUAAGGAUGCCAUAUCAGCAGGUGAACAGGAAAUGGACUCUACCCACGUGACACCUGUCUGAACGCAAAGCAUUCUGGGAGUCUAAUAACAAUGGACUGCACGGACGCAGAAAAAAAGAGGACUGUUUGUUGUUUUUUAUAAAGAUGUUAUGUUUUUGCAGCUGUAAAUACCUGAACAGGAAGCCUGUUUGUAAUUUCAAAUUAAAAGUUGUUUUCUGUA
Molecule: long non-coding RNA, 600 nt
Organism: Micropterus salmoides (largemouth bass)
Lineage: Eukaryota; Metazoa; Chordata; Actinopteri; Centrarchiformes; Centrarchidae
Exons: 3
Source: RefSeq, a predicted model, not a curated record